This 500-nucleotide ribosomal RNA is filed under the name uncultured bacterium. RNAcentral describes it as "partial 16S ribosomal RNA". It matches the Rfam family "Bacterial small subunit ribosomal RNA", at positions 30 to 523 of the family's 1533-position model. The record is from RNAcentral.
AUUGAACGCUGGCGGCAUGCCUUACACAUGCAAGUCGAACGGCAGCACGGGAGCAAUCCUGGUGGCGAGUGGCGAACGGGUGAGUAAUGCAUCGGAACGUGCCCGAUCGUGGGGGAUAACACUUCGAAAGAAGUGCUAAUACCGCAUACGAUCUAAGGAUGAAAGCGGGGGAUCGCAAGACCUCGCGCGAUUGGAGCGGCCGAUGGCAGAUUAGGUAGUUGGUGGGGUAAAGGCUCACCAAGCCGACGAUCUGUAGCUGGUCUGAGAGGACGACCAGCCACACUGGGACUGAGACACGGCCCAGACUCCUACGGGAGGCAGCAGUGGGGAAUUUUGGACAAUGGGCGCAAGCCUGAUCCAGCCAUUCCGCGUGCAGGAUGAAGGCCCUCGGGUUGUAAACUGCUUUUGUACGGAACGAAAAGGCUCUGGUCAAUACCUGGGGCUCAUGACGGUACCGUAAGAAUAAGCACCGGCUAACUACGUGCCAGCCGCCGCAGUAA